Molecule: transfer RNA, 65 nt
Filed under: Platemys platycephala
Lineage: Eukaryota; Metazoa; Chordata; Testudines; Chelidae
Description: tRNA-Ser
Source: RNAcentral
GAGGAGGCACUACACAAUAAGAACUGCUAAUUCCCACCACCGAGGCUAAUCCUUCGGCCUCCUCA